This 849-nucleotide non-coding RNA is filed under the name Pyrearinus termitilluminans (Brazilian larval click-beetle). The record is from RNAcentral. Lineage: Eukaryota; Metazoa; Arthropoda; Insecta; Coleoptera; Elateridae.
GGGGGGGUAUUCGUUUAAAUAUUAAUUUUAGUUGUCUUAGGUUCAUUUUUGUCGUUAACUUUGUUAUUGGGUUUGAUUGCUUGGCUGUGCUCUCAAAAGUUUAAUUUUGGCUUGGGAUUUCAGUGUAUCUUUUUUUUUACAUGCGUGGGGUUCAACUUAAAUAGGAUGGUUGCAGUAUUUUGCAUUGAGUAUUUGGUCAUUCGAGACUCAGAAAUAAGUGUAAGUUUUAAUUAAGCUUGUGCCAGCAAUUGCGGUUACACAAGUGAUGCGGCUGAGGGCUUUUGGUUAGUAAUUGGUUGUUAAUGAUUUUCUUUAUGUCUGAGUUUGAGGGGUGAAAUUUUGAACUUUGUUUAAGGUUGAUUAUUGGUUGUGAAGUUGUUAAAGUCUGGUUUUAAACUAGGAUUAGAUACCCUACUAUUCUGACUGUAAAAUCUCAUGCCUGAUUAUUAAUAGAUUAUUUUCUUGAAAGUUAAAAAAUUUGGCGGUAUCUCAGUCUAUUCAGAGGAACCUGUCCCGUAAUUGAUAGCCCACGAUUUGUUUUACUUUUUCUUUUAGUUUGUAUAUCGUCGUGUUUGAGCAUUUUAUAAGAACGUGAAUGGACAAAUUUUUUUAUGAAAGGGGAUGUCAGAUCAAGGUGCAGCUUAUGUUGAAGGUGGAGGUGGGUUACGGUGAGUUUUAUUCGUGGUUUGUCUUUUUGAAUUGGGGGUGAUAAAUAGGAUUUGAUAGUAAUGUUGUUUAGAUAUUCAGCGUGAUUGGGGCUCUGGGGUAUGCACAUAUUGCCCGUCGCUUUCAUUAAGGUGAAAUAAGUCGUAACAUAGUAGGUGUACUGGAAAGUGUAUCUAGAAAGAU